RNAcentral lists this signal recognition particle RNA (98 nucleotides) under Acetobacter indonesiensis. RNAcentral describes it as "signal recognition particle sRNA small type". It matches the Rfam family "Bacterial small signal recognition particle RNA". Rfam says of the family: The signal recognition particle (SRP) is a universally conserved ribonucleoprotein involved in the co-translational targeting of proteins to membranes. Archaeal SRP consists of a 7S RNA and homologues of the eukaryotic SRP19 and SRP54 proteins. RNAcentral also lists the same sequence under 2 other names. Lineage: Bacteria; Pseudomonadati; Pseudomonadota; Alphaproteobacteria; Acetobacterales; Acetobacteraceae. The record is from RNAcentral.
GGAAAGUCGGCGGUGGACGGGCACCUUGUUGACCAGGUCAGGUCCGGAAGGAAGCAGCCACAGUAAGUUUCGUCCGGGUCAUUGUCCGGCUUUCCACC